GCAACAUUAAGCAUUACAAGCACAAUAGCAUAAACUGUGUUUUCUUGAGCAUACAUACAACAAGUGCAUAUGAGCGCAACAAUAAUGCCUGGUGUUAUCUCUAGCAAUAUACAUAGAAGUGAUUGAUGCAUGCAUGAGCUAUUUAGGACAAACCAUCAUCCUCGAUGAUGAUCGCAAACCCAAUCUCCAUUAAGUACUUCAUCUCUUCAUCAUCGGGAAUCCCCUUCUUUAAGACGAUCUUUUCCUCUUUAUCGCUACCAUCAAGACGAUAUGUGUUGUAGAUGCAGUCGUCUUCCAGAUAAUCGACCCAAUAAGGUACCAAAGGGCUGCCCC
This 333-nucleotide long non-coding RNA is filed under the name Hordeum vulgare. RNAcentral describes it as "long non-coding RNA (HVUL_LNC003068)". Lineage: Eukaryota; Viridiplantae; Streptophyta; Magnoliopsida; Poales; Poaceae. The record is from RNAcentral.